GAUGAACGCUGGCGGCGUGCCUAAUACAUGCAAGUCGAGCGAACAGACGAGGAGCUUGCUCCUCUGACGUUAGCGGCGGACGUGUGAGUCACACGUGGAUAACCUACCUAUAAGACUGGUAUAUCUUCGGGAAACCGGAUCUAAUACCGUAUAAUAUAUUGAUCCGUAUGGUUCAUUAGUGAAUGACGGUUUUUCUGGAUCUUAUAGAUGUAUAUGCGCCGGAUUAGCUGGUUGUUAAGGUAACGGCUUACCAAGGCAACGAUGCGUAGCCGAAGUGACGGGGUGAUCGCCGACACUGGAAGUGAGACACGGACCAGACUCCUACGGGAGGCCGCAGUAGGGAACGUGACGCAAUGGGCGAAAGUCUUGCGGAACAACGGCAAGCGAGUGAUGAAGGUCUUCGGAGCGGAAAACCCUGUUAUUAGGGAAAAACCAAUGUGUAAGUAACUAUGAAGGUCUUGACGGUACCUAGUCAGAAAGCAACGGCUAACUACGUG
RNAcentral lists this ribosomal RNA (497 nucleotides) under uncultured bacterium. RNAcentral's name for it is "partial 16S ribosomal RNA". It matches the Rfam family "Bacterial small subunit ribosomal RNA", at positions 28 to 507 of the family's 1533-position model. The record is from RNAcentral.